AGAACAAUUGAUGACAGGCAAGCUUUAUUUGACAUGUGUACAGCAAGGUGUAAUUAAGAGGAGCAAGAGCAAUACUUUGUAUCGAUGUAUGGAUACUUCCUAACCCGUGGUGAGUUGCAAUGUCUCUAACGUAGAAGAUGGAUAAACGACAGGUUUAUGACUAUGGUGGCAAAGACAUUCGUUGGAGAUCAAAAGGAAAAAGAUGGGCGAGUCAACCGCCAUAUAUUUUCUGCAGAUUUCAUGCAGAAAAUGGUGGCGAAUCCUUUAAGGUGGAAAUGGGAGGACCAUGAAAGAGAAAUAUUACCUGAAUAUAUUGGAUACAAUAUCGGGGAUUGCGAUUUCAUUUU
Long non-coding RNA from Neltuma alba, 347 nucleotides. RefSeq lists it as uncharacterized. The record is from RefSeq and is a predicted model, not a curated record. The transcript is spliced from 3 exons. NCBI's taxonomy places the organism in Eukaryota, Viridiplantae, Streptophyta, Magnoliopsida, Fabales, Fabaceae.